Molecule: ribosomal RNA, 1171 nt
Filed under: uncultured Bacteroides sp.
Lineage: Bacteria; Pseudomonadati; Bacteroidota; Bacteroidia; Bacteroidales; Bacteroidaceae
Description: bacterial SSU rRNA
Rfam family: Bacterial small subunit ribosomal RNA
Source: RNAcentral
AGUUUGAUCCUGGCUCAGGAUGAACGCUAGCUACAGGCUUAACACAUGCAAGUCGAGGGGCAGCAUGAACUUAGCUUGCUAAGUUUGAUGGCGACCGGCGCACGGGUGAGUAACACGUAUCCAACCUGCCGAUGACUCGGGGAUAGCCUUUCGAAAGAAAGAUUAAUACCCGAUGGCAUAGUUCUUCCGCAUGGUAGAACUAUUAAAGAAUUUCGGUCAUCGAUGGGGAUGCGUUCCAUUAGGUUGUUGGCGGGGUAACGGCCCACCAAGCCUUCGAUGGAUAGGGGUUCUGAGAGGAAGGUCCCCCACAUUGGAACUGAGACACGGUCCAAACUCCUACGGGAGGCAGCAGUGAGGAAUAUUGGUCAAUGGACGAGAGUCUGAACCAGCCAAGUAGCGUGAAGGAUGACUGCCCUAUGGGUUGUAAACUUCUUUUAUACGGGAAUAAAGUGAGGCACGUGUGCCUUUUUGUAUGUACCGUAUGAAUAAGGAUCGGCUAACUCCGUGCCAGCAGCCGCGGUAAUACGGAGGAUCCGAGCGUUAUCCGGAUUUAUUGGGUUUAAAGGGAGCGUAGGCGGACGCUUAAGUCAGUUGUGAAAGUUUGCGGCUCAACCGUAAAAUUGCAGUUGAUACUGGGUGUCUUGAGUACAGUAGAGGCAGGCGGAAUUCGUGGUGUAGCGGUGAAAUGCUUAGAUAUCACGAAGAACUCCGAUUGCGAAGGCAGCUUGCUGGACUGUAACUGACGCUGAUGCUCGAAAGUGUGGGUAUCAAACAGGAUUAGAUACCCUGGUAGUCCACACAGUAAACGAUGAAUACUCGCUGUUUGCGAUAUACAGUAAGCGGCCAAGCGAAAGCGUUAAGUAUUCCACCUGGGGAGUACGCCGGCAACGGUGAAACUCAAAGGAAUUGACGGGGGCCCGCACAAGCGGAGGAACAUGUGGUUUAAUUCGAUGAUACGCGAGGAACCUUACCCGGGCUUGAAUUGCAACUGAAUGAUGUGGAGACAUGUCAGCCGCAAGGCAGUUGUGAAGGUGCUGCAUGGUUGUCGUCAGCUCGUGCCGUGAGGUGUCGGCUUAAGUGCCAUAACGAGCGCAACCCUUAUCGAUAGUUACCAUCAGGUUAUGCUGGGGACUCUGUCGAGACCGCCGUCGUAAGAUGUGAGGAAGGUGGA